CUACGGGGGGCAGCAGUGGGGAAUUUUGCGCAAUGGGCGAAAGCCUGACGCAGCAACGCCGCGUGAGGGAUGAAGGUUCUCGGAUCGUAAACCUCUUUCAGACGGGAAGAACACAAUGACGGUACCGUCAGAAGAAGCCCCGGCUAACUCCGUGCCAGCAGCCGCGAUAAUACGGAGGGGGCAAGCGUUGUUCGGAAUCAUUGGGCAUAAAGCGUAUGUAGGCGGCCAGAUAAGUCAGACGUGUAAGCCCACGGCUCAACCGUGGAAUUGCGUUUGAAACUGUCUGGCUUGAGUACGGGAGAGGAAAGCGGAAUUCCCAGUGUAGCGGUGAAAUGCAUUGAUAUUGGGAAGAACAUCGGUGGCGAAGGCGGCUUUCUGGCCCGAUACUGACGCUGAGAUACGAAAGCCAGGGGAGCAAACGGGAUUAGAUACCCUCGUAGUC
Molecule: ribosomal RNA, 442 nt
Filed under: uncultured bacterium
Lineage: Bacteria
Description: partial 16S ribosomal RNA
Rfam family: Bacterial small subunit ribosomal RNA
Source: RNAcentral